UAGAGUUGAUCCUGGCUCAGGACGAACGCUGGCGGCGUGCUUAACACAGCAAGUCGAGCGGAAAGGCCCUUCGGGGUACUCGAGCGGCGAACGGGUGAGUAACACGUGAGUAAUUGCCCUGCGCUCUGGGAUAGCCACCGGAAACGGUGAUUAAUACCGGAUAGGACCACUUCACGCAUGUGAUGGUGGUGGAAAGUUUUUUCGGCGCAGGAUGUGCUCGCGGCCUAUCAGCUUGUUGGUGAGGUAAUGGCUCACCAAGGCUUUGACGGGUAGCCGGCCUGAGAGGGUGACCGGUCACACUGGGACUGAGACACGGCCCAGACUCCUACGGGAGGCAGCAGUGGGGAAUAUUGGACAAUGGGAAGCCUGAUCCAGCAACGCCGCGUGAGGGAUGACGGCCUUCGGGUUGUAAACCUCUUUCAGUAGGGACGAAGCGCAAGUGACGGUACCUACAGAAGAAGGACCGGCCAAUACGUGCCAGCAGCCGCGGUAAUACGUAGGGUCCGAGCGUUGUCCGGAAUUAUUGGGCGUAAAGGGCUCGUAGGCGGUUUGUCGCGUCGGGAGUGAAAACACUGGGCUUAACUCAGUGCUUGCUUUCGAUACGGGCAGACUAGAGGUAUGCAGGGGAGAAUGGAAUCCUGGUGUAGCGGUGAAAUGCGCAGAUAUCAGGAGGAACACCGGGAAGGCGUUUGGGCAUUACGAGA
RNAcentral lists this ribosomal RNA (704 nucleotides) under Nocardioides kongjuensis. Its description in RNAcentral is "bacterial SSU rRNA". It matches the Rfam family "Bacterial small subunit ribosomal RNA", at positions 1 to 743 of the family's 1533-position model. The record is from RNAcentral. Lineage: Bacteria; Bacillati; Actinomycetota; Actinomycetes; Propionibacteriales; Nocardioidaceae.